GCGCACGUGGCGGAAUUGGUAUACGCGCUAGGUUGAGGGCCUAGUGAGAUUAACUUCUCGUGGAGGUUCAAGUCCUCUCGUGCGCA
Molecule: transfer RNA, 86 nt
Filed under: Flavobacteriaceae bacterium
Lineage: Bacteria; Pseudomonadati; Bacteroidota; Flavobacteriia; Flavobacteriales; Flavobacteriaceae
Description: tRNA-Leu
Rfam family: tRNA
About the family: Transfer RNA (tRNA) molecules are approximately 80 nucleotides in length. Their secondary structure includes four short double-helical elements and three loops (D, anti-codon, and T loops).
Source: RNAcentral